Molecule: small RNA, 2744 nt
Filed under: Pongo abelii (Sumatran orangutan)
Lineage: Eukaryota; Metazoa; Chordata; Mammalia; Primates; Hominidae
Description: retained intron
Source: RNAcentral
CGUGGGAGCAGUGGGGUUCGACGGCGCGGCCGCCAGGCCGCCAUGGCCGCUCACGGGAAGCUGCGGCGGGAGCGGGGGCUGCAGGCUGAGUAUGAGACGCAAGUCAAAGAGAUGCGCUGGCAGCUGAGCGAGCAGCUGCGCUGCCUGGAGCUGCAGGGCGAGCUGCGGCGGGAGUUGCUGCAGGAACUGGCAGAGUUCAUGCGGCGCCGCGCUGAGGUGGAGCUGGAAUACUCCCGGGGCCUGGAAAAGCUGGCCGAGCGCUUCUCCAGCCGUGGAGGCCGCCUGGGGAGCAGCCGGGAGCACCAAAGCUUCCGGUAGGUGAUGUGCUGGCAGGGGGGCCACGGCAGGGCCCAAGCUCCGCUCCCAGGUCUCAGUGCCCCUCUACCCCCAGGAAGGAGCCGUCCCUCCUGUCGCCGUUGCACUGCUGGGCAGUGCUGCUGCAGCACACGCGGCAGCAGAGCCGGGAGAGCGCGGCCCUGAGCGAGGUGCUGGCCGGGCCCCUGGCCCAGCGCCUGAGUCACAUUGCAGAGGACGUGGGACGCCUGGUCAAGAAGGUGGCUGAGAUCUGCGUUGAAAUGGAGCUGCGGGACGAGAUUCUGCCCAGAGCCCAGAAUAUCCAGAGCCGCCUGGACCGACAGACCAUUGAGACGGAGGAGGUGAACAAGACUCUGAAGGCGACACUGCAGGCCCUGCUGGAGGUGGUGGCCUCGGAUGACGGGGAUGUGCUUGACUCCUUCCAGACCAGCCCCUCCACCGAGUCCCUCAAGUCCACCAGCUCAGACCCAGGCAGCCGGCAGGCGGGCCGGAGGCGCGGCCAGCAGCAGGAGACGGAAACCUUCUACCUCACGGUGGGGAGGGCUGGGCUGGUGGGCGAGACCCGUGGGGGCGUUGCUGGGGCAGAGGGAGGGGCUCAAGCCAGGGCUAACACUUGGGGCUCUUCUUGGGGCUGCCCAGAAGCUCCAGGAGUAUCUGAGUGGACGGAGCAUCCUCGCCAAGCUGCAGGCCAAGCACGAGAAGCUGCAGGAGGCCCUUCAGCGAGGUGACAAGGAGGAGCAGGAGAUGUCUUGGACCCAGUACACGCAGAGAAAAUUCCAGAAGAGCCGCCACCCCCGCCCCAGCUCCCAGUAUAACCAGAGACUCUUUGGGGGAGACAUGGAGAAGUUUAUCCAGAGCUCAGGCCAGCCUGUGCCCCUGGUGGUGGAGAGCUGCAUUCGCUUCAUCAACCUCAACGGCCUGCAGCAUGAAGGCAUCUUCCGGGUAUCGGGUGCCCAGCUCCGGGUCUCAGAGAUCCGUGAUGCCUUCGAGAGAGGGGAGGACCCACUGGUGGAGGGCUGCACUGCCCAUGACCUGGACUCGGUGGCCGGGGUGCUGAAGCUCUACUUCCGGAGCCUGGAGCCCCCACUUUUCCCCCCAGACCUGUUCGGCGAGCUGCUGGCUUCUUCGGAGCUGGAGGCCACGGCGGAGAGGGUGGAGCACGUGAGCCGCCUGCUGUGGCGGCUGCCCGCGCCGGUGCUGGUGGUUCUGCGCUACCUCUUCACCUUCCUCAACCACCUGGCCCAGUACAGUGAUGAGAACAUGAUGGACCCCUACAACCUGGCCGUGUGCUUCGGGCCCACGCUGCUACCGGUGCCCGCUGGGCAGGACCCGGUGGCACUGCAGGGCCGGGUGAACCAGCUGGUGCAGACGCUCAUAGUGCAGCCCGAUCGGGUCUUCCCGCCCCUGACCUCGCUGCCUGGCCCUGUCUACGAGAAGUGCAUGGCACCGCCUUCCGCCAGCUGCCUGGGGGACGCCCAGCUGGAGAUCCUGGGGGCAGACAACGAGCCGGAGCUGGAAGCUGAGAUGCCCGCACAGGAGGAUGACCUGGAGGGGGUCGUGGAGGCUGUGGCCUGCUUUGCCUACACGGGCCGCACAGCCCAGGAGCUGAGCUUCCGGCGGGGGGACGUACUGCGGCUGCACGAGAGGGCCUCGAGCGACUGGUGGCGGGGGGAGCACAAUGGCAUGCGGGGCCUCAUCCCCCACAAGUAUAUCAUGCUGCCCACGGGGACAGAGAAGCAGGUGGUGGGCGCAGGGCCGCAGACUGCAGGGGAGUCUGGGAGCAGUCCCGAGGGCCUCCUGGCAUCAGAGCUGGUCCACCGGCCAGAGCCAUGCACCUCACCCGAGGCCGCGGGACCCUCUGGACACAGACGACGCUGCUUGGUCCCAGCCUCCCCAGAGCAACACGUGGAGGUGGAUAAGGCUGUGGCACAGAACAUGGACUCUGUGUUUAAGGAGCUCUUGGGAAAAACCUCUGUCCGCCAGGGCCUUGGGCCAGCAUCUACCACCUCUCCCAGUCCUCGGCCCCGAAGCCCAAAGGCACCGGCCAGCAGCCGCCUGGGCAGGAACAAAGGCUUCUCCCGGGGCCCUGGGGCCCCAGCCUCACCCUCAGCAUCCCAUCCCCAGGGCCUAGACACAACCCCCAAGCCACACUGAGGUGCUGCUGCUGGAGAUGCAUGCCCCUGGCGGCUACCUGCUGGACUGGCCACUCUCCCCAGCCCCCUUGCUUCUCUCCAGCCCUGUCCAGCAAGUGCAGGGUGCCUGCACUUCACCCUGUGCAGAGAGGUGGGAUGGGGCCGCGCAUACACGGAUGCCCGCUCCACAUCCUGCCUGCCCCUCAGCCCUGGCCCAGGCCCCUUUUGGAGGCAGCUGAGGAAGGAUGCUGGGGAAAGCCCUCUUCUGCAGCUUUGUGGAAGGCUGAUCAGUGGCUG